CUACGUGCCAGCAGCCGCGGUAAUACGGAGGGUGCGAGCGUUAAUCGGAAUAACUGGGCGUAAAGGGCACGCAGGCGGUGACUUAAGUGAGGUGUGAAAGCCCCGGGCUUAACCUGGGAAUUGCAUUUCAUACUGGGUCGCUAGAGUACUUUAGGGAGGGGUAGAAUUCCACGUGUAGCGGUGAAAUGCGUAGAGAUGUGGAGGAAUACCGAAGGCGAAGGCAGCCCCUUGGGAAUGUACUGACGCUCAUGUGCGAAAGCGUGGGGAGCAAACAGGAUUAGAUACCCUGGUAGUCCACGCUGUAAACGAUGUCGAUUUGGGGGGUGAGCUUUAAGUUUGGCGCCCGUAGCUAACGUGAUAAAUCGACCGCCUGGGGAGUACGGCCGCAAGGUUAAAACUCAAAUGAAUUGACGGGGGCCCGCACAAGCGGUGGAGCAUGUGGUUUAAUUCGAUGCAACGCGAAGAACCUUACCUACUCUUGACAUCCAGAGAACAUUC
RNAcentral lists this ribosomal RNA (498 nucleotides) under uncultured bacterium. RNAcentral's name for it is "bacterial SSU rRNA". It matches the Rfam family "Bacterial small subunit ribosomal RNA", at positions 501 to 1000 of the family's 1533-position model. The record is from RNAcentral.